AUUCCGUAGGUGAACCUGCGGAAGGAUCAUUAUUGAAUGAAACACUUCUGGCUUUAUGCUGUUGUGCUGGCCCUUUGGGCAAUGUGCACACGGCUCUGGUCACUUGUUUCUUCUGUUCCACCUGUGCACUGCCUGUAGACACGCUGUGUCUAUGAUAUUUGUUAACACACAACAAUGUUAGUUGGCAUGUUAUAUAUAAUAAUAAAAUAUACAACUUUCAACAACGGAUCUCUUGGCUCUC
This 241-nucleotide unclassified non-coding RNA is filed under the name plant metagenome. RNAcentral describes it as "partial contains small subunit ribosomal RNA, internal transcribed spacer 1, and 5.8S ribosomal RNA". The record is from RNAcentral.